GAUGAACGCUGGCGGCGUGCCUAAUACAUGCAAGUCGAGCGAACAGACGAGGAGCUUGCUCCUUUGACGUUAGCGGCGGACGGGUGAGUAACACGUGGGUAACCUACCUAUAAGACUGGGAUAACUUCGGGAAACCGGAGCUAAUACCGGAUAAUAUUUCGAACCGCAUGGUUCGAUAGUGAAAGAUGGCUUUGCUAUCACUUAUAGAUGGACCUGCGCCGUAUUAGCUAGUUGGUAAGGUAACGGCUUACCAAGGCAACGAUACGUAGCCGACCUGAGAGGGUGAUCGGCCACACUGGAACUGAGACACGGUCCAGACUCCUACGGGAGGCAGCAGUAGGGAAUCUUCCGCAAUGGGCGAAAGCCUGACGGAGCAACGCCGCGUGAGUGAUGAAGUUCUUCGGAUCGUAAAACUCUGUUAUUAGGGAAGAACAAACGUGUAAGUAACUGUGCACGUCUUGACGGUACCUAAUCAGAAAGCCACGGCUAACUACGUG
Molecule: ribosomal RNA, 497 nt
Filed under: uncultured bacterium
Lineage: Bacteria
Description: partial 16S ribosomal RNA
Rfam family: Bacterial small subunit ribosomal RNA
Source: RNAcentral